GAUGCUAUCUUGAAGAUACAUCAAGACUCAGUGGCCUUUAUAGUGCGACGCGACUAAGAAAUUAUAAAGCCAAAAGCGGUUCUGUAACCGACGUAAGCCUUAAACUGAGAACAAAAAAGGGUGUCACAAGAGAUCGCCAGUUUGGUGCGGAGUAACAGUCAAACUAAAAAGAAGAAAGUGGAAAGUGGAAAAGGCGCGAGAGAAACGCGCUGUGAUAGUGUCGGUAAAGAAUACGACCGAAUGAAUAAACGACACGCGUAAAGAGAGCGUGAAUGGUUGUCUUAGUGGGGCCUCGAAUUGUCCGUUUUUAAAAUGAGAAGGGAGGUCGGCGUAGGGUUGGGGCCCAGAGAGGAGCCUAAGUGGGACCACGCGGGAGUUGCGUAAUCCAGCAGAUGGACGCUUCGAGAUUUGCGACUAUUGGUGGGCCGUGGGCUUGGUUGAUAUUAAAGAGACGUCAUUUGCAUCAGGAGUCUGUGGGUGGACAGAUGGUCGGUUUGGUGCUGCUAAAUUCCCUUACCCAAUGCCGCUUUUGGUGGACGGCCACUUGUACUCGCUUGUUUGCACGUGACAUCACACGUGACAUGUUCUAAUUGUCUGCAAUUAAUAAUUUUAUGCUACAUUUGAGAUACGCA
This is a long non-coding RNA of Mangifera indica (mango), 632 nucleotides long. RefSeq lists it as uncharacterized. Lineage: Eukaryota; Viridiplantae; Streptophyta; Magnoliopsida; Sapindales; Anacardiaceae. The transcript has 2 exons. The record is from RefSeq and is a predicted model, not a curated record.